Molecule: ribosomal RNA, 406 nt
Filed under: uncultured bacterium
Lineage: Bacteria
Description: bacterial SSU rRNA
Rfam family: Bacterial small subunit ribosomal RNA
Source: RNAcentral
UGGGGAAUAUUGCACAAUGGGCGAAAGCCUGAUGCAGCGACGCCGCGUGAGGGAUGACGGCCUUCGGGUUGUAAACCUCUUUCAGCAGGGAAGAAGCGAAAGUGACGGUACCUGCAGAAGAAGCGCCGGCUAACUACGUGCCAGCAGCCGCGGUAAUACGUAGGGCGCAAGCGUUGUCCGGAAUUAUUGGGCGUAAAGGGCUCGUAGGCGGUUCGUCACGUCGGGAGUGAAAACUCGGAGCUUAACUCCGAGCCUGCUUCCGAUACGGGCAGACUAGAGGUAGGCAGGGGAGAGCGGAACUCCUGGUGUAGCGGUGGAAUGCGCAGAUAUCAGGAAGAACACCGGUGGCGAAGGCGGCUCUCUGGGCCUUACCUGACGCUGAGGAGCGAAAGCGUGGGUAGCGAAC